This 492-nucleotide ribosomal RNA is filed under the name uncultured bacterium. RNAcentral's name for it is "partial 16S ribosomal RNA". It matches the Rfam family "Bacterial small subunit ribosomal RNA", at positions 29 to 507 of the family's 1533-position model. The record is from RNAcentral.
AGUGAACGCUGGCGGUAGGCCUAACACAUGCAAGUCGAACGGCAGCACAGUAAGAGCUUGCUCUUACGGGUGGCGAGAGGCGGACGGGUGAGGAAUACAUCGGAAUCUACUUUUUCGUGGGGGAUAACGUAGGGAAACUUACGCUAAUACCGCAUACGACCUACGGGUGAAAGCAGGGGAUCUUCGGACCUUGCGCGAUUGAAUGAGCCGAUGUCGGAUUAGCUAGUUGGCGGGGUAAAGGCCCACCAAGGCGACGAUCCGUAGCUGGUCUGAGAGGAUGAUCAGCCACACUGGAACUGAGACACGGUCCAGACUCCUACGGGAGGCAGCAGUGGGGAAUAUUGGACAAAGGGCGCAAGCCUGAUCCAGCCAUACCGCGUGGGUGAAGAAGGCCUUCGGGUUGUAAAGCCCUUUUGUUGGGAAAGAAAAGCAGCAGGUUAAUACCCCGCUGUUCUGACGGUACCCAAAGAAUAAGCACCGGCUAACUUCGUG